CAUAGCUUGCCGAAGGUUAUCAAACUCGGUUCCUUCUGCUUGCAGAAGGGAUUUCAUGACCUUCGAGGUCUCAUAAAAACGGGGCAGGUAUGUUGCCAUUUCCUGCCCCCUGGUGCUGGUUAU
This 123-nucleotide unclassified non-coding RNA is filed under the name Desulforamulus aeronauticus DSM 10349. RNAcentral describes it as "Desulfotomaculum aeronauticum DSM 10349 C. elegans sRNA ceN72-3". The record is from RNAcentral. Lineage: Bacteria; Bacillati; Bacillota; Clostridia; Eubacteriales; Peptococcaceae.